Molecule: ribosomal RNA, 532 nt
Filed under: Alternaria eichhorniae
Lineage: Eukaryota; Fungi; Ascomycota; Dothideomycetes; Pleosporales; Pleosporaceae
Description: eukaryotic LSU rRNA
Rfam family: 5.8S ribosomal RNA (bases 174-329)
Source: RNAcentral
AUCAUUACACAAAUAUGAAGGCGGGCUGGAAUCUCUCGGGGUUACAGCCUUGCUGAAUUAUUCACCCUUGGGUCUUUUGCGUACUUCUGUUUCCUUGGUGGGUUCGCCCACCACUAGGACAAACAUAAACCUUUUGUAAUUGCAAUCAGCGUCAGUAACAAAUUAAUAAUUACAACUUUCAACAACGGAUCUCUUGGUUCUGGCAUCGAUGACCAGAACGCAGCGAAAUGCGAUAAGUAGUGUGAAUUGCAGAAUUCAGUGAAUCAUCGAAUCUUUGAACGCACAUUGCGCCCUUUGGUAUUCCAAAGGGCAUGCCUGUUCGAGCGUCAUUUGUACCCUCAAGCUUUGCUUGGUUUGUUGGGCGUCUUGUCUCUAGCUUUGCUGGAGACUCGCCUUAAAGUAAUUGGCAGCCGGCCUACUGGUUUCGGAGCGCAGCACAAGUCGCACUCUCUAUCAGCAAAGGUCUAGCAUCCAUUAAGCCUUUUUUCAACUUUUGACCUCGGAUCAGGUAGGGAUACCCGCUGAACUUAAG